RNAcentral lists this ribosomal RNA (437 nucleotides) under uncultured bacterium. RNAcentral describes it as "bacterial SSU rRNA". It matches the Rfam family "Bacterial small subunit ribosomal RNA", at positions 30 to 469 of the family's 1533-position model. The record is from RNAcentral.
AUUGAACGCUGGCGGCAUGCCUUACACAUGCAAGUCGAACGGCAGCACGGGAGCAAUCCUGGUGGCGAGUGGCGAACGGGUGAGUAAUAUAUCGGAACGUGCCCAGUCGUGGGGAUAACGUAGCGAAAGCUACGCUAAUACCGCAUACGAUCUAUGGAUGAAAGCGGGGGAUCGCAAGACCUCGCGCGAUUGGAGCGGCCGAUAUCAGAUUAGGUAGUUGGUGAGGUAAAGGCUCACCAAGCCGACGAUCUGUAGCUGGUCUGAGAGGACGACCAGCCACACUGGGACUGAGACACGGCCCAGACUCCUACGGGAGGCAGCAGUGGGGAAUUUUGGACAAUGGGCGCAAGCCUGAUCCAGCAAUGCCGCGUGCAGGAUGAAGGCCUUCGGUUGUAACUGCUUUGUUACGGUAACGAACGGUAGAGGCUCUAAUACAG